GCAAUGAUGAAUCAUUUAUGUGCCGAUUGUCAAAAAAUGAUAGUGCAUUGUCCUCUAAGAAGUUCUGAGCUU
Small nucleolar RNA from Suncus etruscus (white-toothed pygmy shrew), 72 nucleotides. RefSeq annotates it as small nucleolar RNA SNORD61. NCBI's taxonomy places the organism in Eukaryota, Metazoa, Chordata, Mammalia, Eulipotyphla, Soricidae. The transcript has a single exon. The record is from RefSeq and is a predicted model, not a curated record.